Molecule: long non-coding RNA, 2322 nt
Organism: Pecten maximus
Lineage: Eukaryota; Metazoa; Mollusca; Bivalvia; Pectinida; Pectinidae
Exons: 2
Source: RefSeq, a predicted model, not a curated record
AUAUAAUUUAUUUAAUCAUCAUAACUUAACACUACCAAUAAAUACUAAACAAAACAUAUACAACACUUUAUGCCCACAUAUGAACUACAGAAAGAGUUUGUACAAAGACAGGUCUGGUAUGACAAAUUUGUACAGACAGAUAGGUCUGGUAUGACAAAUUUGUACAUACGGAUAGGUCUGGUAUGACAAAUUUGUACAGACAGAUAGGUCUGGUAUGACAAAUUUGUACUGACAGAUAGGUCUGGUAUGACAAAUUUGUACAGACAGAUAGGUCUGGUAUGACAAAUUUGUACAGACAGAUAGGUCUGGUAUGAUAAAUUUGUACAUACAGAUAGGUCUGGUAUGACUAAUGUGUACAUACAGAUAGGUCUGGUAUGACAAAUGUGUACAUACAGAUAGGUCUGGUAUGACAAAUUUAAAAAUUAUAAAAUUUAUAAUAAAUUCAUACUGACAAGCAAAUAGCACCUUUUCAUAAAUAUCAAUUUUGAUACAGUGUAUGCUGAUUAUACUUUAAAACUUCAUCAUACAGCCAUUUUGUCAUUCUAGAACUAGCCAAUGAUGCUGGGAGACAAAAGUGUUGAGAGUCAAUAAGAAGCCUAAUGGGCCUGCAUCACUUACCAGGAUAUUUUGAUUAUCAUCGGAAAACACUAGAAGCCAUUUAAAGAAAUGACCUCUACUUCCUCUUUUAGGCCCCUCACCUCUGGUCCCUAGGGGUCCUGCAUUACCAUAUACAUGUACUGGUAUGCAAAAUUUGUUACCUUGCCCCAAGAAAGCUUCUGAAUAAAUUCUGUCAAAAUCCUUUCAGGUGUUCAUGACAAGCAGCGAUUAAAAAAAAACUUUUAAAAACACCAUUGUUGCGUGGCAUAAGCUUACUGGUCCUUUGGACCAGGUGAACUUAAAAUGGCUGAAAGAAUGUUGCAUUUACCUCAUUAAUUAUAUAUAUAAUGAUUCAUAAAAGUUGAUAUUCUUAUAUUUUUCUAUAGAAAACAAGUAGCUCUGAAAUUUUGAACAAAGUGUUCAAGGUAAUAACAAUGAAAUAUAACACUUGAAUUCAAAUAUUUCGUACAGAAUAAAAUAUUAAUAUGGUAAUGUGAAAUUGUAUCAAAAUUCAUACAAAGUAAACAAAGUUCCUAAAUGAUAUCCUGACACCUUUGCAGUUAAUGAAGUGCAUUUGUAUAAAUGUCAUUUAUUUUAAAUUGCUGCUGUAGCAUGAGCAGGUCUUGUUUGGAUAGAACAGAACCCUUUAUGUCCACAACCAAAUGUCAAAGGCCUUUGACCUCUACAAUGACCUUCGGACAAGAGGCUGGAAAACUGGAUCUUAAUUUGCAAUUUUGAGAUGAUAAAAAGGUAUGAAUUUGUUUCUAAUUAUCUUUGUUUUCUAAACCUAAGGUAUUUGUAAUUUAAAAUUUGAUGAGAGACCUCAAGUGUUUUAUAUAUUGAAUACAAAGAAUUAUAAAAAUAUCAGAAAAUAUAGUUUCACCAAUAAGCUGAAAAAUUAAACAUGCUCAAAUUUCAAGUUUACAGUGAACGCUGUACCAGGUGGAUACGUUGUCCCCAUAAAAACACUACCAAACCUUAUAGGACUAGCAUACACCUACAACUAUUAAAAUGCAUGAUAAUUAAGGACGGAAUACAAAAAACUACCAUGUUUACCAUGCAAUAAGCCCUUGGACCAAUAUAUACCCUCUGUCUCAAUGUCAAGGGCCAAUACAUACCCUCUGUCUUAGUCAGGGGGCCAAUACAUCACCCCUGUCUCAGUCAGGGGGCCAAUACAUCACCCCUGUCUCAGUCAGGGGGCCAAUACAUCACCCCUGUCUUAGUCAGGGGGCCAAUACAUCACCCCUGUCUCAGUCAGGGGGCCAAUACAUCACCCCUGUCUUAGUCAGGGGGCCAAUACAUCACCCCUGUCUCAGUCAGGGGGCCAAUACAUCACUCCUGUCUCAGUCAGGGGGAAAAUACAUAACCCCUGUCUCAGUCAGGGGGCCAAUACAUCACCCCUGUCUUAGUCAGGGGGCCAAUACAUCACCCCUGUCUCAGUCAGGGGCCAAUACAUCACCCCUGUCUCAGUCAGGGGGCCAAUACAUCACCCCUGUCUCAGUCAGGGGGCCAAUACAUCACCCCUGUCUCAGUCAGGGGGCCAAUACAUCACUCCUGUCUCAGUCAGGGGCCAAUACAUCACCCCUGUCUCAGUCAGGGGGCAAAUACAUCACCCCUGUCUCAGUCAGGGGGCCAAUACAUCACCCCUGUCUCAGUCAGGGGGCCAAUACAUCACCCCUGUCUCAGUCAGGGGGCCAAUACAUCACCCCUGUCUCAGUCAGGGGG